CAAGAGUGGAGUUUGGUUCCCCUGUUCAAGUAACUCUGAUAUUCAGAUCUUUGGCUGCAGGGAUUCCCAGCUCACAAUUUUCGGAAAGUGAAAGGAACUUCUUAAGGAAAACACUAGGAGUGGAGUCUCCAUCUCUCAACCCAAGUGCUCAACCAUCACAACCGACACCCUGCAAAAGAGCCCUACUAGACAGUUUACAAUCAUAGAUCCCAAUAUCCAUAGGUUAUUUUCCCCUUUCUGAAUCCUUGACAUCCUUCUUUGCCUAGUUUGAGAAACAUUUCAAUUUUAUCCUGCCCUAAAACUUUGAAAGGCAUACCCUUGGUAAGAAUGUAAUGGUAUGUUCUUGCCAUCUUCAACAUAUCUAACAAUAUCCUUCCCUUCACUCAAGGGUUACCUCCUAGAUAAUGGCACCAAAAAUCAGUGUGCUUUUAGAGU
Molecule: non-coding RNA, 435 nt
Organism: Arachis ipaensis
Lineage: Eukaryota; Viridiplantae; Streptophyta; Magnoliopsida; Fabales; Fabaceae
Source: RefSeq, a predicted model, not a curated record